GUUUAUCUAGACUAGUUGGUAGAGCGCAAGGCUCUUAACCUUGUGGUUUUGGGUUCAAACCCCAUGGUGUGUG
This 73-nucleotide transfer RNA is filed under the name Zea mays. It matches the Rfam family "tRNA". From Rfam's summary of the family: Transfer RNA (tRNA) molecules are approximately 80 nucleotides in length. Their secondary structure includes four short double-helical elements and three loops (D, anti-codon, and T loops). Further hydrogen bonds mediate the characteristic L-shaped molecular structure. tRNAs have two regions of fundamental functional importance: the anti-codon, which is responsible for specific mRNA codon recognition, and the 3' end, to which the tRNAs corresponding amino acid is attached (by aminoacyl-tRNA synthetases). tRNAs cope with the degeneracy of the genetic code in two manners: having more than one tRNA (with a specific anti-codon) for a particular amino acid; and 'wobble' base-pairing, i.e. permitting non-standard base-pairing at the 3rd anti-codon position. The record is from Rfam by way of RNAcentral. Lineage: Eukaryota; Viridiplantae; Streptophyta; Magnoliopsida; Poales; Poaceae.